UACGUAGGGUCCAAGCGUUAUCCGGAAUCACUGGGCGUAAAGCGUGCGUAGGCGGCGUGUUAAGUGUGAUGUUAAAUCGUGUGGCUCAACCAUAUCGAUGCAUUGCAUACUGGCAUGCUAGAGGAAGGCAGAGGCAAGUGGAAUUGGCAGUGUAGCAGUGAAAUGCGUAGAGAUUGCCAGGAACACCAAUGGCGAAGGCAGCUUGCUGGGACGUUACUGACGCUGAGACGCGAAAGCGUGGGGAGCAAACAGG
RNAcentral lists this ribosomal RNA (253 nucleotides) under uncultured bacterium. Its description in RNAcentral is "partial 16S ribosomal RNA". It matches the Rfam family "Bacterial small subunit ribosomal RNA", at positions 524 to 776 of the family's 1533-position model. The record is from RNAcentral.